This 497-nucleotide ribosomal RNA is filed under the name uncultured bacterium. RNAcentral's name for it is "partial 16S ribosomal RNA". It matches the Rfam family "Bacterial small subunit ribosomal RNA", at positions 28 to 507 of the family's 1533-position model. The record is from RNAcentral.
GAUGAACGCUGGCGGCGUGCCUAAUACAUGCAAGUCGAGCGAACAGAUAAGGAGCUUGCUCCUUUGACGUUAGCGUCGGACGGGUGAGUAACACGUGGGUAACCUACCUAUAAGACUGGGAUAACUUCGGGAAACCGGAGCUAAUACCGGAUAACAUUUGGAACCGCAUGGUUCUAAAGUUAAAGAUGGUUUUGCUAUCACUUAUAGAUGGACCCGCGCCGUAUUAGCUAGUUGGUAAGGUAACGGCUUACCACGGCAACGAUAGGUAGCCGACCUGAGAGGGUGAUCGGCCACACUGGAACUGAGACACGGUCCAGACUCCUACGGGAGGCAGAAGUAGGGAAUCUUACGCAAUGGGCGAAAGCCUGACGGAGCAACGCCGCGUGAGUGAUGAAGGGGUUCGGCUCGUAAAACUCUGUUAUUAGGGAAGAAGAAAUGUGUAAGUAACUGUGCACGUCUUGACGGUACCUAAUCAGAAAGCCACGGCUAACUACGUG